Molecule: long non-coding RNA, 3116 nt
Organism: Corvus hawaiiensis (hawaiian crow)
Lineage: Eukaryota; Metazoa; Chordata; Aves; Passeriformes; Corvidae
Exons: 3
Source: RefSeq, a predicted model, not a curated record
UCAGGCAAAGAUAUGGGAAAUAGGAAUAACAGUUCUUUACUAAUAUAUAUAUAUAAAACAAGGCAGGGAAAAAACUGAUCUAAACUGACAGUCAGAUACGACCUGACCCUAUUAGUCAGGGUAGCGGUAGCAGUCCGAUAAGGUGGUGGCUGCAGACCUCCUGAAGUGAAUAGAUGUGGUUCUGUUGAAGCAGUGAUCCUGUGUAGAAAGAUCUGGUCUCCCUCAGAAGGUCCAGUGGUAGGUAUGUAGCUCUUGUCCUCUGGAAAUCCAGUGGGAAAGGCUGCCUGUAGUCUUCAAAAAUCCCAGUUUAUAUGCAGGAUGAGAUGCUUGGUUCCUCCCUCUGGGCGGAGCAUCUCACAAUGGAAUGACUCAUGAGAUAAGGCGCUGGUGGGCCAUUAACAGGACACAGUGUUGAGGGAGGAGGCAGGGAGCACUGCUCCACCUGGUUUUAACAGCUCAUGAAGAUGGUGAUAGAAUACAUGCUUGUGGGCACAUCUUGCAUUGUAACUUAGGGCACCACUACAGCCCAGCCGACUCCUGGCCCUGCCCACCCACAAACCCUUGCUGCUGUAUUUCUUUAGACUGGUUUCCUAAGGAAGGUAGGCUUCUAGAAACAUGGCUUUUUGUUCAAUCAUCUCACUCCCUUGGCAUCCAUGAAAUAUAAAAGCAAUUAAACAUUGCCCUAGUUGCACAUGUUAACUAGAGGGGGGAUGGAGAAUUAAAUUCCUAUCAGGUUUGUGGAAAUAUAUGACAGGGAUAGAGGACAACCCCCUCAGAGACCCUGUGUUGCUGUGUGAUCUCUGCAUAUAUGAGGACCUGGGGAAAGCCCAUAGUACCUCUGCCCUCUCCUCUGUUUUGUGGCUUAUGUGUGUAAGGACGUAUUUUCCCAGUGAUGUCCCUCUGUUCACUGCCACAUUGCUGGCAUCUUUGCCCUUCAGCCUCCUGCUGCUUCCCCAGCCCAGCCCAGCCCAGUAGGUAAAUCCCUGUCCCUAGGUGUGACUGAUAGGACCAGAAACAUGCCUGGGAUGGUCCCGUGCCAGCUGGAUAGAGAACACAUGACUGGCCUGGAGACAGUGAAGGCUGAGACCUGGCACAGUGCAGCCACAGAUAUGACAUUUGUGAGCUCUGCAGCUCAUCACUGAGGCAGGAUUGGCAGCAGCCUGUCUGAGAAGCAAGGGUCAAACAGGAAAGAGCUCUCACCCAGUGUACAGCUUGGGUUUUUCCCAGACAGCUGCAGCCUCACUGCCUCUAAGGAGGUGUCUAUGCCUUUGGAUGGGAAUCUCUGUGGCUCUUCCUCAAAGGUGCGAGAACCUGAACACAGCACAGCGAGCCCCAGCCUGGAUUCAGCCUCCUUGUUCCUGGACUGGCAUUGCUGGAAACACUGGGUUUCACCAUAGGAGAGCUUUGUGUCUCAGCCUCCCCGGCAGAGAGAGGCCCCAUGUGAAUGGCUCAGGAGCUCCCUGAGGUCUUUGUGUGGGAAAUAAGGCUCCAGGCACCUUCUGUGCUUUUGGGACUGCACAGCCCUUUCCUCUGCUGCUCGUAGGCAGGUGGGCAGCAUUCCCAGGCUGGGGCUGUGCCUUCCUCCAGCAAGCUGCUGGCAGAGUGCCUGGGCAAAGGAGACAAGAAGGAACACAGCUCUGAUACAGUGUCUGGCCUCUGUGCAGGGACGAUUUCUGUGGAGCCAUUGGAUGCCGCUGCAGUGGGGCUGAGUGCAAAGGGACGAGGGAAUGGGCAUUUCCUUUUGCACUGAAGAGCGCCCCAGACAGCUUGACUUUCCUGCAUCCCCUCUCCCUGGCUGCUGCGGGGAGACAUGCUGUACAUCACAAGAGUGAUGGGAAAGUGUCGAGCUUUGCACGUGACACUUUUCCUUCACCACCUCUCUAUCUCCCCACCCCAGCUAUCCCGAUCAUCUUUCCCCCUCAGGCAGGCUUAGCUGCAGAGAAACCAUGGCUGAAGAAAGACCACUGACAAGUGAAGGAUUGCCGGUAAACAGAAAUCAACCAGCAGCAAAUGGAGCAGACUGUGCGGGAACUGCCCGCGAAGCGUUUUACAGCAGGGGAAGGACCCUCCAAGACAUCUGCACCCUGCAACAUCACUUCUUCUGGCAGUUCUCCCCAAUGCCAGUGACAUUAAAAAGGGGGGGGGGGGGGGGGGCGUGUCUCAGUGGAGGAUACUGACAGGCUGCCCAUUUGCGUGGGUGUGAAGCUGAAACACGCUGGAGAGGGCUGUGGUGCCGUUCUAGGUGCCGAGCGGGUUUCUGGCUCCUGCCGGUCCUGCGCUGGCACCACAGCCCCUGUUCUAUCACGUGUGGAUCGUUAUCUGCUUUCUCUUUCGCUUCUGAGGGCAGCGCUCUUUCCCGAUAGUCAGCUGAAUACGAGCAAGAAAACAAACCAAGCCCAGCUGCGCAGUGUGAGCCGGGGUCAAGUUUGCGUUCCUUCUCCCUGCUGUGCAGAGCAGCACGACAGGAGCAGAAACGACCAAAAUUCGCACCACAAUUAUGCUAAACUUCAAGAAGAGGAACAACAUAAAUCAUGAGAGAACAUGUUAAAGAUCUGUCUAGGUUUGCAUCACAGUGGUGUGGUGAUGCUGAAACAGACUGUUGGCUGGAAUAACCUGCCCACCCUACGGAGCAUUACAUAAAUGCUCUCAAAAAUACAGACUUCCUGUUGCUCAGAUCUCCAAUCUGAGGCCCUGGAUCUUACUGUCUGGGUGAGAUCUGGCUCAGAGAGAAUGAGAUUCACUAAUGAGUACUUACAGAUGCAACCACAGCUAAUGACAGCUGCAUUUUAAACUUCAAGAUAAACUGUAAAAUACUCUGAAAAAUCAGGUAUUGAAGACCUAAAGGUGGUGAGUACUCUUAAUUUACCUAACUCCUAAAAACCCACUUAUAAAAUAGAAAAAUGCCCCACAAAACACAGAGUGAUAAUGUCAUUUUUUAGCCUACACCUUAUUGAUCCAUAUCAUAGGAAAAUGUGACAGUGGCUUGAUACUGAGUGAGGUGCUGAUUUGAAAACUUUUGGAGCAUGGUAAUUUUGUACUAAUGCUCUUCAGAUCUCCUGAAGCAUCCAACUUACACUGAGGGUUUGGGGCUUUAAUUUUUUUAUUAUUAUUUUUUC